RNAcentral lists this long non-coding RNA (584 nucleotides) under Phasianus colchicus (ring-necked pheasant). Its description in RNAcentral is "lncRNA (ENSPCLG00000020171.1)". Lineage: Eukaryota; Metazoa; Chordata; Aves; Galliformes; Phasianidae. The record is from RNAcentral.
CAGAAACUACCAGCUGAGAAACAACUCAGAAAUCAUAUACCAAUUCAAGAGGGAGAUUUCAGAAUACGGAUGUUCACUGAACACAUCAUGGAUUGGUCCAGAUGGAGUCAGAUAUUCUAAUCAAACCUUCAAUCAAGCUGCUGCUCUUCUGGUUGAGAAUGGUAAGCGAGGGAUCACAUAUCUUUUUAAACGUGGGACUCAUGAGGAAUUUGGAUACACAUCUCUCUGCACUGCUUUGGCAUUUUACUUCAUCCUCAGCUGCUGGACUGCAGGUUCUGCUGUUGCCAGUGGCCUGGUUAUCCCGAUGCUGUAAGCUUCAUUCAUCUUGGUUUGCGCUGUCUAUGUAGAAGGCCUGUGUUGAGUAGCAAUAACCUGAAUUGUAAGCUGAAAUCUUGGCAGUGGCAAAGCUAUAAUUGCUUGGAGGAGGUUGUAUAGGUGGAACAGUCUCUCUUGCUUGGAAAGAGAGACUAAAAUUGUGGAAAAGAAUGAAAAAAAGUCAUCCGAGAAUAGCUGUAGAAGGAUGAUAGCCAAAACUGUAUACUUUCCAAGUACAGAUCACUUGAAUCCUUUAGGGACCCAGGGAG